This is a long non-coding RNA of Zingiber officinale, 455 nucleotides long. RefSeq lists it as uncharacterized. The transcript is spliced from 3 exons. NCBI's taxonomy places the organism in Eukaryota, Viridiplantae, Streptophyta, Magnoliopsida, Zingiberales, Zingiberaceae. The record is from RefSeq and is a predicted model, not a curated record.
CCUCAUCUACGAACCCCUCCUCGCCUUCUCUUCUGAUCCUCUUCGCUUUCGCCUCCGCAUCCCAUUGAUCGAUCGCUCCUCCUCUCCUACGCCGUAGAACCCUAAUCUCAAGAUCUCGCCAUGAAGAGGGGGAAAUCGAAGACUGAUGCUCCCAAGAAGGCUAUCAUCACAGUGUUAAACUUCAACUUGAAAGAUGAGAGAAACAAGCAGAAUGAAAGAGAAGAGGGGGAUUGACACUUGUGUAGGAUUGAGAAGACUGUACUCUUCUUUCUGGAGCAACAAGGAAUUAUUGCACACAGGAUUCAAGAGUUGGGAGAGGAGCAUACUAUACUUCUUGAGUAUCCAGAGAUAUCUAAGCUAUAUCUAAUCUGCAAGAAGCAUAUAUUGAAGUUGGACAUGAUCUUUUAAAGCUUCUCAGAUUUGUAGAUAUGAAUGCUACUGGGAUUCGUAAAAUU